Molecule: ribosomal RNA, 477 nt
Filed under: uncultured bacterium
Lineage: Bacteria
Description: partial 16S ribosomal RNA
Rfam family: Bacterial small subunit ribosomal RNA
Source: RNAcentral
GAUAAACGCUGGCGGCGUGCUUAACACAUGCAAGUCGAGCGGAAAGGCCCUUCGGGGUACUCGAGCGGCGAACGGGUGAGUAACACGUGGGUAACCUGCCCCUUGCUCUGGGAUAACUCCGGGAAACCGGGGCUAAUACCGGAUAUGACCCUUGAAGGCAUCUUUGGGGGUGGACAGUUUUUCGGCAAGGGAUGGACCCGCGGCCUAUCAGCUUGUUGGUGGGGUGAUGGCCGACCAAGGCGGUGACGGGUAGCCGGCCUGAGAGGGCGACCGGCCACACUGGGACUGAGACACGGCCCAGACUCCUACGGGAGGCAGCAGUGGGGAAUAUUGCGCAAUGGGCGGAAGCCUGACGCAGCGACGCCGCGUGAGGGAUGACGGCCUUCGGGUUGUAAACCUCUUUCAGCAGGGACGAAGCGAGAGUGACGGUACCUGCAGAAGAAGCACCGGCCAACUACGUGCCAGCCGCCGCAGUAA